GGAUGUGAGGGCGAUCUGGCUGCAACAUCUGUCACCUCAUUGAUCACCAGGGUUGAUUUGGCUGAUCUGGCUGGCUAGGCUGGUGUCCCCUUCCUCCCUCACCUCUCCAUGUGCGUCCCUCCCGAAGCUGCGCGCUUGGUCAAAGAGGACGGCCUUCCCCGAAUAGAGACGGACCGGUCUUCGGUCGAGGGUAUAUGAGUAGCUGCGCUCCCCUACUAGAACCUCCAAACAAGCUCUCAGCACAACAUGUAUAAAAUUUAUGAUGUACAGAGUAGUAAGGCAUAAGGUCUGUUGUGUGAACUUUAU
RNAcentral lists this small nuclear RNA (306 nucleotides) under Sorex araneus (European shrew). RNAcentral describes it as "7SK RNA (ENSSARG00000015211.1)". It matches the Rfam family "7SK RNA". Rfam says of the family: 7SK was discovered as an abundant small nuclear RNA in the mid-70s but a possible function has only recently been suggested. Two independent studies have found that 7SK RNA binds the CDK9/cyclin T complex (known as elongation factor P-TEFb). Lineage: Eukaryota; Metazoa; Chordata; Mammalia; Eulipotyphla; Soricidae. The record is from RNAcentral.